AAAUUCCAUUGUGAUUAUUUCAUUUCUUCCAUCUCAACAUAGUUUCCACAAAUAUAAAUAAAUGUCAUGCAUUUUGUCCCUACCAAGAUGGGACAUCUUGGUCUUUGUCACCAAUUUUGGAGAAGAUAAUCAGUUCUACUAAGACAGUAGAUGAAAAGGAAAAAAGAGCAAUUACCUACUAGCUCCCUGAAUCUCUUCCCACCAGAAAUGAGAAGAUUGAAAGUUUGGUUUGAAUCUGAAUGUAGACCCCCUGUGGACAUUUCAGAGGGCAUAGGUUGCUAGGGAUGAUUUCAAUUGUAUAGGAAAUAUUGCAUUUUAAAGCUACCAUAGCAACCUGGGAUUAAUUCUGUGUAGUGCGUUCUGUCCUCUGAGUGGCUAUUUCCGCUAUUUAUGGGCUCUUUGAGGUCACUAUUUUAUCCCCAUUACCUGGCACAGUGCCUGAUGCUGCUAAAUGAAUGCUCAACCAACCAAUAAAUGGUGUGCACUGUGAGCUAAAGUCUGGGGUAGACAUUAGGUUCCUUUUAGAUCAAUAACUGGAGUUAUUUUAAGAAGGCAGAAAGACAAUGGACAGGUUUGGGGAGAAGGAGGUGAAAAGGAAUGAGUGAUGGGCAGCAGGGAGAACGUUAUUUCAUUGUUUUCUAAAAAGGCAAUUUGGAAGAUAAACUUCUUAUAGAAGAAAAAAAAGACCUCAAGAGGGAGGUGACAUGGAGCUUGGAAGGGCGAGGAUACAUCAGAGCGGAGACGUUGCUGUGAGCCUGUUUCUCUUGGCUGCCUAUCAAGGAGCAAUUACCUACCAGCUCCCUGUAUCUCUUCCCAACAGAAACAACCUAGUUAUCCAAAUAUGACUCAUCCACACCCCCAAACUGACUUUGAUAACAAGAUACCAGAAGAAGCAGGGGGAAGAAUUUUAAAGAUUGUAUGCAUGUUAUGACUCUCAUCUUUUCUUUCUCAUACCAGCCUUGCAGGUAUAAGCUGAUGUGAUUAUAGACAGUCUAUGGUUCAGCUUUACUUAAUUCCUAGGCUCUUUAGAUUAAUAAGAGUAUGACUCAGAAAGCAUGGUCAUUAAAAUGUAUUAUAAUGGAAAUUAUUUAUUUGUGCCAUUCCUUGUUACAAGGACAUUCCAUACUUUCCAGUUGUCAGAGUAUAAGCUUUGUUUUUGGAGCUAAAAAUAGAGUAGAAAUCGACAACAUUUAACACACUGAAAAAUGAAAUGUUCAGUCACAAUUUGUUUAUUUUCACUUUUUAAAAAGGAAAGGUUAUUGAGGUUUAAAACCCCUGUGAACUUUAUAGCAAACGUAUAACUCAAUUAACUUCGACACAUUCAGUUGUAUUGUAGCUACCAGAAACAAGGUGGAGAACAUUUCCAUAAUUUUGAGAAGUUCCCUUGUACCCCUUUGUGGUGAACAACCUCUGGCAACCUCUGGUCUGUUUCCUAAUUUUCCAGCUUGACUUAUUUAAGAAUAUCAUAUAAACGAGAUGCAGCACAUUAGCCUUUGAGUCUGGCUCCUUUGACUUAGCUUAAUGCUUUUGAAUUUUCAGCUUGUGGUUUACAGUAGUUUCUCAUCAUAUGUGGUUUUGCUUUGCAUGGUUUCAGUUACUCACAGUGAAGUGAGGUCCAAAAAUAUUAAAUGGUAAAUGUCAG
RNAcentral lists this long non-coding RNA (1642 nucleotides) under Marmota monax (woodchuck). Lineage: Eukaryota; Metazoa; Chordata; Mammalia; Rodentia; Sciuridae. The record is from RNAcentral.